GCAGGCCGUCGGCGCCGCACAGCAGCCCGAACUUGCCGUAGUUCUCGAACCGGCGCUUGGUCUUCUCGAUGGUGGCGUUGAUGGCGAGCGCGGGGGCGCUGUCGGGCGCGUACUUCUUCAGCGACGCGGUGAGCUUCUUGAUCGAGUUCUUCUCGCGCUUCGCGAACGCCUUGGACUCCUUGCACGGGGUCAGCCCCGCGAUGUCGGCGGCCGCGGGCGGAGGGGAGGUGGCGGCCGAGGACAGCAGCACCGACGACAGCGCCAGCGCGGCGGAGAACGUCUUCACGGAGGACGCGAGCGACACGCUGCUGCUGUCGCCGGUGGCGGCGGAGCAGGCCACGGAGAGGCGCGCGCGCGGCUUCGCGGCGAAGGCGGCCGUGGAGGCGGCGGCGAGGGCGGCCAUCUCUGGUCUCUGGCUCUCUGCUGCUACGCUGCGUCGUCCGGCUUGGAGCUGGGGAGAAACAGACGUGCUUAUUGGGAGGG
Molecule: long non-coding RNA, 483 nt
Filed under: Zea mays
Lineage: Eukaryota; Viridiplantae; Streptophyta; Magnoliopsida; Poales; Poaceae
Description: long non-coding RNA (ZMAY_LNC000150)
Source: RNAcentral